GACAUAGGUGGCAAACGUUAUCCGGAAUUAUUGGGCGUAAAGGGUGCGUAGGUGGGCUAGUAAGUCCGUGGUGAAAUCUCCAAGCUUAACUUGGAAACUGCCGUGGAUACUAUUAGUCUUGAAUAUUGUGGAGGUAAGCGGAAUAUGUCAUGUAGCGGUGAAAUGCUUAGAUAUGACAUAGAACACCGAUAGCGAAGGCAGCUUGCUACACAAUCAUUGACACUGAGGCACGAAAGCGUGGGGAUCAAACAGG
This 253-nucleotide ribosomal RNA is filed under the name uncultured bacterium. Its description in RNAcentral is "partial 16S ribosomal RNA". It matches the Rfam family "Bacterial small subunit ribosomal RNA", at positions 524 to 776 of the family's 1533-position model. The record is from RNAcentral.